AGAGUUUGAUCCUGGCUCAGGAUGAACGCUAGCUACAGGCUUAACACAUGCAAGUCGAGGGGAAACGACAUCGAAAGCUUGCUUUUGAUGGGCGUCGACCGGCGCACGGGUGAGUAACGCGUAUCCAACCUGCCCAUCACUUGGGGAUAACCUUGCGAAAGUAAGACUAAUACCCAAUGAUAUCUCUAGAAGGCAUCUGAAAGAGAUUAAAGAUUUAUCGGUGAUGGAUGGGGAUGCGUCUGAUUAGCUUGUUGGCGGGGUAACAGCCCACCAAAGCAACGAUCAGUAGGGGUUCUGAGAGGAAGUCCCCCANAUUGGAACUGAGACACGGUCCAAACUCCUACGGGAGCA
Molecule: ribosomal RNA, 351 nt
Filed under: uncultured bacterium
Lineage: Bacteria
Description: bacterial SSU rRNA
Rfam family: Bacterial small subunit ribosomal RNA
Source: RNAcentral